AAUCUUCCGCAAUGGACGAAAGUCUGACGGAGCAACGCCGCGUGAACGAUGAAGGCUUUCGGGUCGUAAAGUUCUGUUGUUAGGGAAGAACAAGUACCAGAGUAACUGCUGGUACCUUGACGGUACCUAACCAGAAAGCCACGGCUAACUACGUGCCAGCAGCCGCGGUAAUACGUAGGUGGCAAGCGUUGUCCGGAAUUAUUGGGCGUAAAGCGCGCGCAGGUGGUCCUUUAAGUCUGAUGUGAAAGCCCACGGCUCAACCGUGGAGGGUCAUUGGAAACUGGGGGACUUGAGUGCAGAAGAGGAAAGUGGAAUUCCACGUGUAGCGGUGAAAUGCGUAGAGAUGUGGAGGAACACCAGUGGCGAAGGCGACUUUCUGGUCUGUAACUGACACUGAGGCGCGAAAGCGUGGGGAGCGAACAGGAUUAGAUACCCUGGUAGUCCACGCCGUA
RNAcentral lists this ribosomal RNA (452 nucleotides) under uncultured marine bacterium. RNAcentral describes it as "bacterial SSU rRNA". It matches the Rfam family "Bacterial small subunit ribosomal RNA", at positions 360 to 804 of the family's 1533-position model. The record is from RNAcentral.